Molecule: non-coding RNA, 4266 nt
Organism: Styela clava
Lineage: Eukaryota; Metazoa; Chordata; Ascidiacea; Stolidobranchia; Styelidae
Source: RefSeq, a predicted model, not a curated record
AUUUGGACAUAUUUUGUGUAAUAUCCAUUUUUUUCCGGUUAUUCUAAAUAAUUAUUACCGAUUAGAUAUUCUGUCAAGUGUCAAUAUUACCAUUGUAAGUUUAAUGAUAUAUACCAUUUUUAUAAUAGGCCCUAUGACAAUGGACUGGAAAAUUCACCUGCUUCAGUUCCCUCUUUCACAAAAUCAUACACUGUUUCAUUUCAAGCAUCUCAAUGUUUCAAUGCGGACAAUGCCCAAAACAGAGAUCAAGCCAUGCUCCAAUCCAGUCCAUGGAAAAAUUGUUGGGACAGGCGGUAGAAACUCUUAUGCUACAAGCUACGGCAUCUGCAACUUUCCACUGAUUAUAGUGAAAAUUCGGACAUACAGGAAUUGAUGAAAUUCAUAGUCAAUUCAUUGUCUGAUUACAUUUUGAUCCAGAAUACAUUCAAGGAUGAAAAAAUGGCUCAUAAGAUAUUUGUCAAGUCUCGGAGGUUGCUCCAAGAAAGACUGGAUUGGAGAAUCAUGAGCUCAGUUAUAACAAAUUUACUCGCCCGCUCUUUCAACUGUGCAGGACGCGGUGGAUAAGAAGGAGUGAGUGGGACGCCCUUAGUUUCUGCUAUUAAAGGUACCGCUCUGGAUGAUCUGGCAACGAACUCCGAUUAAUUUUAUUACAUGUAUACAUAUUUGUAAAAUAACGACAUUUUGUUAUCUUUUGUUUUUUAUUAUAUAAAUAAUGUUAGAUUAGUGGGAAAUUUCUAUGUAGUAUAGAUCCAUACCCUGUCUGUACAACACAUCGCCUAACUUGGCCCGACCAUGUGCCACGAUUGUAUUACAACGUGUCACCUACGUAGGCCCGGCCAUAUGUCACGAUCGUGUUACAACGUAUCGCCCACGUUGGACCGGCCAUAUUUCACGAUUGUGUUACAACGUAUCGCCUACGUUGGCCCGACCGUUUGUCACGGUUGCAUUACAGCGAAAGGACCGACGUUGGCCCAGCCGCCAAAUCUUCGCUGGAACAUGGUUGUUCGCCAUUAUUGGGCCGGUGGUUCGAACAACGUUCGGCCAUGGUUGUUCCGACGUAGUUGUGCUAUCUGGGGUAUCAAAUCAGCCCCUCAGCCUAAGAUAAGGUUCGAAUGUGCAGCUCUAAGAUUUUGGAGUAUCUAUAUUAAAAGAAUGGAUGGAGUGCUUCAGUCGCAAUAAAAAUUACUAGCUAAUUAUUGGUUAAAUACUGAAGUACUGCUGUGUAGCAAAAUCUCUUUUCAAGUCCCAUGUUUUGGCAAACUCAGAAGCUGCAAAUUUAUUGAAAAACAAAGAAAAAUGCCUGAAAUAAUUGUAAGUGAAAAAGAAGAUCUGAAAAUGGUCUGUUGUAAUCUGUUUAAGUUUUUUCAAACCUCGAUAAUAUCUAGCCAGAAUGAGUUUCUUUUUAGUAUAUUUAUUAUUGCGAAAAUAAGUUUGUAAUACUACUAAACUGCAUUUGUCAUGCUGGUGAAACAGUUUCACCACAUUCUAACCUCGUAUCCACUGAUAUAUAGUAGCAUAUAUAUAUAUAUUUUUCUCUCCAUAUAUUAUUAUUCACCAUCGCCUAAUGCCGAUAGAAAUUUAUUUGUAUUCAUGACUUAGGUAUUAAUUGACUUCAAAAUUGCCUAAUUACUGAAAUACCAGAAUAUGUAAUUCUGAGUCAGCUGUUACGAAUCAAAGUAAACUAGUAAGCUAUACUGAGAUGCUGGAGUUUUUUUAGAAUGAAAAUUAACUUUGCUUGACACACCUUUUGAUAAGUCGUUUUGGUCACCACACCUUUUAGUUUUAAUAACCCGAAAGUCGAAGGGGUUCUUCAGUCAUUUUUACUCGUAUUUUACCUUCAAUGCAGAAUACUAUUUAAAUUCUCUAUCGAAGCAUAUAUUUAUUUGCUGCAUCAAUUAUUCGAAAUGGCCACCAAUACUGACACAGUGAAUACUUGACACCAGACGUGAUAGACGAGUUGAUGCAUACUAAAAUGGAUGGGGCUCAGAAGCUGCAAAUUUAUCAAACGAAAUUAUAGAAAAAGUUGAUAACAAAGAAAGAAGAAAUGCCCGAAAAAAUUGCGAGUGAAAUAACUAGAUCUGGAAAUGAUAUCUUCCUUAGAGAUGCAAUUUUGUAAAAAAAAUGAAUUCCGCGGUAAUCCAGAGAAUGCCUGCCACACUUCUCAAGGAUCGUUGAUACCCCUCAUGAACAAAUGAUCAGAUUCACUUCCACUCUUGUGCCCAUCUCCAGAAUACUUGUUAUUCAUUCAGCGGUUCCAUUACAUUUGAACCCACGUACAUUUGAAUCCAUGACAAUUGCACCUGUAUGCUAUUGCACCUAUGGAAUUUUUUUUGUUUCACGGUUAGUUAAACCCAUACUAACCCUAACCAAUGGGUUUUAGCACCCGCAUAUAGAUUGAACCCGUGGAUAUACGCAUGGGUUCAAAUGUACGGUCACCUCAUUCAGCAUAUCUACAUUGAAUUUUCCAAAGAAGCUUGUGAAAAUCCCAAUAAUAUUUAGUUUAAUACAGUUGCUGCAGAUGUUUUUGCUGGACAAUAUUUCAGAAACUUUGUAAUACACAUUGGAAAGCAGUGUGAUGUAGAAUUGUCAGAUGAUAUAGAACGAGUGAUAUUAUACGAAUAUUGUCUUACACAUUUACAAAAAAGCUUUUUUUACAUAUGCUAGAAUCUAUUUUGCUUUCUUUUCAAUUCGCUAAUGCUUUGGCCGAAAUAAACUGUACUUCAAUUGAAUCCACCGCGGACUGGAAUAAGAUGUUGGCCCUUCGAAAAGGGUUAGGUAUUUUAUUCCUAAUAUGAGGGUUGAAUAGAUGGUAUUAUGGAGGUGACAUGUUUGUAUUUAAACUGCCGGCCGAUAUUGGUAACAAGCCAACACCACGACAAGGUUUCGACCACUGUGUUGGGAUUUAUCCUUGCAUAGAUAGGCAGAAUCGCUAUGCAAGGAAAACACAUGAAUGAACGACUAACUUGAAUUUUUUUCGUGAUUUUUUUAAUCGGGAGAGGAUCAUUGCACACUGUUGUCCGACCAUUCGCUUCCCCAUACGUGGUUGGUUCAAAAAAUUAGUUAGGAAUAAGAAAAACUUCCAUACCAUGAUUGUAGGGUUUUUCUACUUACUAUCCAUGAUUCACAAUAAAUAGAUACCUUUGAAAAUUGAAUGAAAUAACACUUUACAAACUUAAAGCAUAACAGCAUCUACUAUACACAGUAUGACAUCGAAAAUUCUUCUCUCAUAAACAUUUUUACUAUCAAUAGACAAUGAGUUCCACUCAGCAUGACCAAUAACAUUUGGAGCAACAUUAACACAAUUUUGUUUGAAAAAUGUCUCUAACAUAAAUGAUAUUUCCUUUUAUCCAAUUCUCUACAUGUUCUGGGUAAAUAUACAAUGGGAUAAGAGGAUUCCACCACAAUAUUUUAUUCACUAUUUAUAUUUUUAUCAAAUACAACUUUUCUUGAAAAGUUCAAACUUUAUUGGUUGAUUUUACUAUUUUUAAAAUUAUGAUUAGAAAGAUGAAGCGUUUCUAAAUUUUAGGUCACCAGCCGUUUUCCAUAAUUAUUUAUAAAUACUCUUGCUCUUGGGCCCCAAUAAAUUUUAGUAACCAAAAUAUUCAUUUAAUUUGAAUAUUUUUAAUUUGUGUUACCAUAUCCAUACAACCUAAUCCACAAUACGGUUUACUACAGCAAUAUAUUUUUCUAGUCACUAACUUACGUUUUCCAUCCCACUGUCCCAUAUAAAACUCCAAAUUAGUUUAGUGACAUUUUUUGAAAUAUCCAUUGCUGCAUUGGGACACAUUCAAAUGCAGAUAGGUACCAUACCUUUGAUAACAUAAAAGUCUUGGCCAUAAUAAUUUUGCCAGUCAUGAUCUUAUUUCUGUUUUUCAAAAUAUUGAAUGUCUGAAUGUGUUACAGAUUUUUUCUUGCACUUAAACUCAACUUUCUUCUAUGGCAUUUUCAGUAUUUCCCAUUCACGAACCAAGAAUUUUUAUUUUAUCUUUAGAUACUGUAAUCCCACAAAUUCCAAAUAGUUGGUUUUGCUUUAAAGGUCGCAAAAUAAAAUCUGUGAUUUUCAUUAUUAAUCCAGUAAUCAGUGUUCCAAUCCUCUUACACUUACAGUCUUCCAAUCCUAAAUUUAUCUGCUAAGUCAGUAAGUAUCCAUUCGUGAGAAUAGCAGCGUUAGUUUUGCUACACAGUGUUUUUGUCAUAGAUAUGAAGUUUUUUUUCCAAACUUGAAUCGUUCCAUAAUUCUCCAUAAAAAUAUCCGGGUCUAGUGAA